Molecule: ribosomal RNA, 253 nt
Filed under: uncultured bacterium
Lineage: Bacteria
Description: partial 16S ribosomal RNA
Rfam family: Bacterial small subunit ribosomal RNA
Source: RNAcentral
UACGGGGGGGGCAAGCGUUGUUCGGAAUUACUGGGCGUAAAGGGUUCGUAGGGGGCCAACUAAGCCAGACGUGAAAUCCCUCAGCUUAACUGGGGAACUGCGUCUGGGACUGGAUGGCUUGAGUGCAGGAGAGGAACGCGGAAUUCCAGGUGUAGCGGUGAAAUGCGUAGAUAUCUGGAGGAACACCGGUGGCGAAGGCGGCAUCCUGGACCAAUAUUGACGCUGAGGAGCGAAAGCCAGGGGAGCAAACGGG